GUAGGGCGCGAGCGUUGUCCGGAAUUAUUGGGCGUAAAGAGCUCGUAGGCGGCUUGUCACGUCGGUUGUGAAAGCCCGGGGCUUAACCCCGGGUCUGCAGUCGAUACGGGCAGGCUAGAGUUCGGUAGGGGAGAUCGGAAUUCCUGGUGUAGCGGUGAAAUGCGCAGAUAUCAGGAGGAACACCGGUGGCGAAGGCGGAUCUCUGGGCCGAUACUGACGCUGAGGAGCGAAAGCGUGGGGAGCGAACAGGAUUAGAUACCCUGGUAGUCCACGCCGUAAACGGUGGGCACUAGGUGUGGGCAACAUUCCACGUUGUCCGUGCCGCAGCUAACGCAUUAAGUGCCCCGCCUGGGGAGUACGGCCGCAAGGCUAAA
Molecule: ribosomal RNA, 374 nt
Filed under: uncultured bacterium
Lineage: Bacteria
Description: bacterial SSU rRNA
Rfam family: Bacterial small subunit ribosomal RNA
Source: RNAcentral